Molecule: ribosomal RNA, 534 nt
Filed under: Ceratocapsus sp. WCW-2003g
Lineage: Eukaryota; Metazoa; Arthropoda; Insecta; Hemiptera; Miridae
Description: eukaryotic LSU rRNA
Rfam family: Eukaryotic large subunit ribosomal RNA
Source: RNAcentral
AAACACGGACCAAGGAGUUUAGCGUGUGCGCGAGUCAUUGAGUGGCAAAACUCAAAGGCGAAAUGAAAGUGAAGGGAACUUUACGUUUCUGAGGGAAGAUGAGAUGGCUUCUAUUUAGAGCCUCUCCGCACUCCCGGGGCGUCUCUAUCUCAUUGUGAGACGAGGCGCACCUAUAGCGUACACGCUGAUACCCGAAAGAUGGUGAACUAUGCCUGGCCAGGACGAAGCCAGGGGAAACCCUGGUGGAGGUCCGCAGCGAUUCUGACGUGCAAAUCGAUCGUCGGAGCUGGGUUUAGGGGCGAAAGACCAAUCGAACCAUCUAGUAGCUGGUUCCCUCUGAAGUUUCCCUCAGGAUAGCUUGCGCUCGGACGGAACGAGUCUCAUCCGGUAGAGCGAAUGAUUAGAGGCCUUGGGGUCGAAACGACCUCAACCUAUUCUCAAACUCCAAAUAGAUGAGAACCCUGGCUUUCUUGAACUAUGAAGCCAAGGGGUUUCGGAUCAGAGUGCCAAGUGGGCCAAUUUUGGUAAGCAGAA